This 438-nucleotide ribosomal RNA is filed under the name Ensifer sp. CL4.32. RNAcentral describes it as "bacterial SSU rRNA". It matches the Rfam family "Bacterial small subunit ribosomal RNA", at positions 17 to 502 of the family's 1533-position model. Lineage: Bacteria; Pseudomonadati; Pseudomonadota; Alphaproteobacteria; Hyphomicrobiales; Rhizobiaceae. The record is from RNAcentral.
CCCUGGCUCAGAACGAACGCUGGCGGCAGGCUUAACACAUGCAAGUCGAGCGCCCCGCAAGGGGAGCGGCAGACGGGUGAGUAACGCGUGGGAAUCUACCCUUUUCUACGGAAUAACGCAUGGAAACGUGUGCUAAUACCGUAUGAGCCCUUCGGGGGAAAGAUUUAUCGGGAAAGGAUGAGCCCGCGUUGGAUUAGCUAGUUGGUGGGGUAAAGGCCUACCAAGGCGACGAUCCAUAGCUGGUCUGAGAGGAUGAUCAGCCACAUUGGGACUGAGACACGGCCCAAACUCCUACGGGAGGCAGCAGUGGGGAAUAUUGGACAAUGGGCGCAAGCCUGAUCCAGCCAUGCCGCGUGAGUGAUGAAGGCCCUAGGGUUGUAAAGCUCUUUCACCGGUGAAGAUAAUGACGGUAACCGGAGAAGAAGCCCCCGGCUAACU